GAUGAACGCUGGCGGCGUGCCUAAUACAUGCAAGUCGAGCGAACAGACGAGGAGCUUGCUCCUCUGACGUUAGCGGCGGACGGGUGAGUAACACGUGGAUAACCUACCUAUAAGACUGGGAUAACUUCGGGAAACCGGAGCUAAUACCGGAUAAUAUAUUGAAUCGCAUGGUUCAAUAGUGAAAGGCGGUUUUGCUGUCACUUAUAGAUGGAUCCGCGCCGCAUUAGCUAGUUGGUAAGGUAACGGCUUACCAAGGCAACGAUGCGUAGCCGACCUGAGAGGGGGAUCGGCCACACUGGAACUGAGACACGGUCCAGACUCCUACGGGAGGCAGCAGUAGGGAAUCUUCCGCAAUGGGCGAAAGCUUGACGGAGCAACGCCGCGUGAGUGAUGAAGGUCUUCGGAUCGUAAAACUCUGUUAUUAGGGAAGAACAAAUGUGUAAGUAACUAUGCACGUCUUGACGGUACCUAAUCAGAAAGCCACGGCUAACUACGUG
Molecule: ribosomal RNA, 497 nt
Filed under: uncultured bacterium
Lineage: Bacteria
Description: partial 16S ribosomal RNA
Rfam family: Bacterial small subunit ribosomal RNA
Source: RNAcentral